Molecule: small RNA, 75 nt
Filed under: Xanthomonas campestris
Lineage: Bacteria; Pseudomonadati; Pseudomonadota; Gammaproteobacteria; Lysobacterales; Lysobacteraceae
Description: sRNA sX9
Rfam family: Xanthomonas sRNA sX9
Source: RNAcentral
AUGUACCCACGUACAUUCCGGUUCCUCCGCGCCGUCCGCACCCACCUGACGACUGCUCGCUACGUUUUGUUAGCA